Non-coding RNA from Vicia faba (fava bean), 181 nucleotides. The record is from the annotation of a GenBank genome assembly. Lineage: Eukaryota; Viridiplantae; Streptophyta; Magnoliopsida; Fabales; Fabaceae.
AUGCAGCAGUCGACCCCCACUGCCAGAACAGCCGUGAACCGCCGGAAAAUCCCCUACAAGGCCGUGAUUGCGCUACCCUCACUCUCCCUCCGUUUUGUGAAUUUCGGCCACAUUUGGCCUCCGUUCUUCGAUCUGACUUUGGCGAUCUCUUCUACGCAACCUCCUCUGCGUUUCUACGGUA